AAUUAGAAAAGUAAGUAUAUGUUCGAAUAAACGUGCGGCUGAAGAGGGCCUUAAUUAGUCCUAAAACGGCCUGAGGUAGAGGGGUUUUUGUCGGUAGGUGUGAGGACUUCUUCCUCGGGAAUCCGACACUACCCAAUCGUAGGGACGGCUGGGUGUCUUUUGAAGAUUUCCCUUUCACGAAA
Molecule: non-coding RNA, 182 nt
Organism: Agrilus planipennis (emerald ash borer)
Lineage: Eukaryota; Metazoa; Arthropoda; Insecta; Coleoptera; Buprestidae
Source: Rfam